GAUUAACGCUGGCGGCGUGCAUAACACAUGCAAGUCGAACGAUGAAACUUAACUGAUUUCUUCGGAAUGAUUUUAAGUGGAUUAGUGGCGGACGGGUGAGUAACGCGUGAGUAACCUGCCUUGGAGAAGGGGAUAGCCUUUGGAAACGAAGAAUAAUACCCUAUGAUAUGAUAAUAUCUCAUGAUAUUAUCAUCAAAGAUUUAUCGCUCUAAGAUGGACUUGCGUCUGAUUAGUUAGUUGGUGAGGUAACAGCUCACCAAGGCAGCGAUCAGUAGCCGGCUUGAGGGAGUGUACGGCCACAUUGGGACUGAGACACGGCCCAGACUCCUACGGGAGGCCGCAGGGGGGAAGUUUGCACAAUGGGGGAAACCCUGAUGCAGCGACGCCGCGUGAUUUAGAAGGCCUUCGGGUUGUAAAAAUCUUUUGUAUGGGAAGAAAAUGACAGUACCAUACGAAUAAGGACCGGCUAAUUACGUG
RNAcentral lists this ribosomal RNA (477 nucleotides) under uncultured bacterium. RNAcentral describes it as "partial 16S ribosomal RNA". It matches the Rfam family "Bacterial small subunit ribosomal RNA", at positions 28 to 507 of the family's 1533-position model. The record is from RNAcentral.